RNAcentral lists this transfer RNA (64 nucleotides) under Trichopygomyia trichopyga. RNAcentral describes it as "tRNA-Phe". The record is from RNAcentral. Lineage: Eukaryota; Metazoa; Arthropoda; Insecta; Diptera; Psychodidae.
AUUUAAAUAGCUUAAAUUAGAGUGUAAUAUUGAAGCUAUUAUGGUGGAGGAUCUCCUUUAAAUA